UGGGGAAUUUUGGACAAUGGGGGCAACCCUGAUCCAGCAAUGCCGCGUGUGUGAAGAAGGCCUUCGGGUUGUAAAGCACUUUUGUCCGGGAAGAAAUCGCACCUGAUAAUACCGGGUGUGGAUGACGGUACCGGAAGAAUAAGUACCGGCUAACUACGUGCCAGCAGCCGCGGUAAUACGUAGGGUCCAAGCGUUAAUCGGAAUUACUGGGCGUAAAGCGUGUGCAGGCGGUUGUGCAAGACCGAUGUGAAAUCCCCGGGCUUAACCUGGGAAUUGCAUUGGUGACUGCACGGCUAGAGUGUGUCAGAGGGGGGUAGAAUUCAACGUGUAGCAGUGAAAUGCGUAGAGAUGUGGAGGAAUACCGAUGGCGAAGGCAGCCCCCUGGGAUAACACUGACGCUCAUGCACGAAAGCGUGGGGAGCAAACAGG
Molecule: ribosomal RNA, 429 nt
Filed under: bacterium
Lineage: Bacteria
Description: partial 16S ribosomal RNA
Rfam family: Bacterial small subunit ribosomal RNA
Source: RNAcentral